AGUAAGAGGAAAAUCCGUCGACUUUAAAAAUCGUGAGGGUUCAAGUCCCUCUAUCCCCAAAAGUUUAUUUCACACCCUAACUAGUUAUCUUUUUUUCAUUAAUGGUUUGAUGGAUCGGGACGGAAAUGCUUUUCUCCUAUUACAAGUCUUGUGAUAUAUCUCAUAUAUGUACAAAUGAAUAUCUUUGAGCAAGGAGUACUCAUUUGAGUGAUUCACAAUCCAUACUGUGAAAACUUUCAAAUUCAGAGAAACCCUGGAAUUAAUAAAAAUGGGCAAUCCUGAGCCAACUCCUUUUUUUCAAAAGAAAAAAAUAAGGGUUCAGAAAGCAAGAAAAAAAGGAUAGGUGCAGAGACUCAAAGGAAGCUAUUCUAACAAAUGGGGUUGACUAUGUUGUUAUAAGAAUUCUUCCAUCAAAACUCCAAUAAAAAAAGGGGUGAAGCAUAUACGUACUGAACUAUGCCAAACGAUUAAUGACAACCCGAAUCUUUAUUUCUUUUUUUUUUUUUUUAUGAAUAUAAAAUCAAAAAAUUUAUACGAGAAAAUGGAAGAAUUCUUGUGAAUCGAUUCCAAGUUGAAAAAAGAAUCAAAUAUUCAUUCAUCAAAUCAUUCACUCCAUAGUCUGAUAAAUCUUUUGAAGAACUGAUUAAUCGGACGAGAAUGAAGAUAGAGUCCCGUUCUACAUGUCAAUACUGACAACAAUGAAAUUUAUAGUAAGAGGAAAAUCCGUCGACUUUAAAAAUCGUGAGGGUUCAAGUCCCUCUAUCCCCAAAAGUUUAUUUCACACCCUAACUAGUUUUUUUCAUUAAUGGUUUGAUGGAUCGGGACGGAAAUGCUUUUCUCCUAUUACAAGUCUUCUGAUAUAUCUCAUAUAUGUACAAAUGAAUAUCUUUGAGCAAGGAGUACUCAUUUGAGUGAUUCACAAUCCAUACUCGUACUAAAACUGAUAGACAAAGUCCCUCUUUUUGAAGACCCAAGAAAUUCUGGUACCUAGAUAAGACUUUGUAAGAUAUAAGACUUUUCGUCCUUUUUUAAUUGACAUAAACCCAAGUUAUCUAGUAAAAUGAGGAGAUGAUGCACCAGAAAGGGGAAUGGUCGGGAUAG
RNAcentral lists this precursor RNA (1101 nucleotides) under Mesembryanthemum gessertianum. RNAcentral describes it as "partial transfer RNA-Leu". The stretch from base 173 to 693 matches the Rfam family "Group I catalytic intron". The record is from RNAcentral. Lineage: Eukaryota; Viridiplantae; Streptophyta; Magnoliopsida; Caryophyllales; Aizoaceae.